RNAcentral lists this ribosomal RNA (389 nucleotides) under uncultured bacterium. RNAcentral's name for it is "bacterial SSU rRNA". It matches the Rfam family "Bacterial small subunit ribosomal RNA", at positions 151 to 535 of the family's 1533-position model. The record is from RNAcentral.
UGGAAACGGUAGCUAAUACCGCAUAACGUCGCAAGACCAAAGAGGGGGACCUUCGGGCCUCUUGCCAUCGGAUGUGCCCAGAUGGGAUUAGCUAGUAGGUGGGGUAACGGCUCACCUAGGCGACGAUCCCUAGCUGGUCUGAGAGGAUGACCAGCCACACUGGAACUGAGACACGGUCCAGACUCCUACGGGAGGCAGCAGUGGGGAAUAUUGCACAAUGGGCGCAAGCCUGAUGCAGCCAUGCCGCGUGUAUGAAGAAGGCCUUCGGGUUGUAAAGUACUUUCAGCGGGGAGGAAGGGAGUAAAGUUAAUACCUUUGCUCAUUGACGUUACCCGCAGAAGAAGCACCGGCUAACUCCGUGCCAGCAGCCGCGGUAAUACGGAGGGUGC